CCUACGGGAGGCAGCAGUAGGGAAUUUUUCACAAUGGGCGAAAGCCUGAUGGAGCAACGCCGCGUGCAGGAUGCAGGCCUUCGGGUUGUAAACUGCUUUUAUAAGCGAGAAAUAUGAUGGUAACUUAUGAAUAAGGAUCGGCUAACUACGUGCCAGCAGCCGCGGUCAUACGUAGGAUCCGAGCAUUAUCCGGAGUGACUGGGUGUAAAGAGUUGCGUAGGUGGCAUAAUAAGUAGCUAGUGAAAUCUGGUGGCUCAACCAUUCAGACUAUUAGCUAAACUGUUAAGCUCGAGACCGUUAGGGGUAACUGGAAUUUCUAGUGUAGGAGUGAAAUCCGUAGAUAUUAGAAGGAACACCAAUAGCGUAGGCAGGUUGCUGGGACGGUUCUGACACUAAGGCACGAAAGCGUAGGGAGCAAACGGGAUUAGAUACCCUUGUAGUC
This 442-nucleotide ribosomal RNA is filed under the name uncultured bacterium. RNAcentral describes it as "partial 16S ribosomal RNA". It matches the Rfam family "Bacterial small subunit ribosomal RNA", at positions 338 to 795 of the family's 1533-position model. The record is from RNAcentral.